AACGGAUGCGAUCAUACCAGCACUAAUGCACCGGAUCCCAUCAGAACUCCGCAAUUAAGCGUGCUUGGGCGAGAGUAGUACUAGGAUGGGUGACCUCCCGUGAAGUCCUCGUGUGUUGCAUCCCUCUU
This 128-nucleotide ribosomal RNA is filed under the name Arabidopsis thaliana (thale cress). Lineage: Eukaryota; Viridiplantae; Streptophyta; Magnoliopsida; Brassicales; Brassicaceae. The record is from RNAcentral.